This is a long non-coding RNA of Lagopus muta (rock ptarmigan), 908 nucleotides long. RefSeq lists it as uncharacterized. NCBI's taxonomy places the organism in Eukaryota, Metazoa, Chordata, Aves, Galliformes, Phasianidae. The record is from RefSeq and is a predicted model, not a curated record. The transcript is spliced from 4 exons.
CUGCCUCCUUGGAAGUAUUGGGAGUGAGUUCUGCCCUUUGGAAUGGGGUCUGUCAGCAGAAGGAGCAGCAACUGCACCUGGAGAUUGCUUCCUUUAGAGCGUGGGGUGAACCCUUGAAACUGGGACUGUGACCUUUCCUGUUUUUGGGGCAUCCUGACCGCAUUGAAGUGCUGGCAGAUGUAAGGGCAGCAUUGAUCUCUGGAGACUGUCUCCUAUGGAGCAGGGGGCUGUUAUGCGCUGCUUCCAACCAUGCAGAGUUGUUUAAGGGCGUUCUGUGCACCCUUAGGUGUAAUAAAUCUUCAUCAUUAUAGAAAGCCAAGGAUUGUCCUCUUCUGGACUGCUGUACUCAGUAUCACCCCAGUGUGAUGAAGUGAAGCCCCUGCUCUGCUGAAUACUGGGACUGGCCCAGAGAGGCUCUGAUGGAUGUGGAUUAUCCUAGCCAGAGUACUUGGUACCAUUGGUGGUGAUCUUGUCCAACUGCCACACAAUGAACAGGAACAUCCACAGCCAGAUCUGGCUGCCCAGAGGCUGACCCAGCCUCACCUUGGAAGGGACGGGGCAUCCAUCACAUGUCUGGGUAACCUGUUCUGCUGUGUCACCACCCUCACUGUACCAGAUUUUCUUUAUAUCUAGGCUAAAUCUUUCCUUGUUCUUCCCUUCAGGUGUUGAAAGGCUGUUACCAGAUCACCUUGGAGCCUUCACUUCUGCAGGCUGAACAGCUCCAGCUCUCUCUCUUUAUAGGAAAGGCGUUCCAUCCCUCAGUUCAUAUUUGUGGCUGUUCUCUGGAUGUUCUCCAACAGCUCCACGUCUGUCCUGCGCUGCGGACAUCCACAUCCAGAUGCAGCACCUCCAGGUGAGGCCUCACAGCGCAGAGCAGAGGGGCAGGACCAGCUCCCUUCGCCUGCUGA